AAAUUGAAGAGUUUGAUCAUGGCUCAGAUUGAACGCUGGCGGCAGGCCUAACACAUGCAAGUCGAACGGUAACAGGAAACAGCUUGCUGUUUCGCUGACGAGUGGCGGACGGGUGAGUAAUGUCUGGGAAACUGCCUGAUGGAGGGGGAUAACUACUGGAAACGGUAGCUAAUACCGCAUAAUGUCGCAAGACUAAAGAGGGGGACCUUCGGGCCUCUUGCCAUCGGAUGUGCCCAGAUGGGAUUAGCUAGUAGGUGGGGUAACG
Molecule: ribosomal RNA, 265 nt
Filed under: Escherichia coli
Lineage: Bacteria; Pseudomonadati; Pseudomonadota; Gammaproteobacteria; Enterobacterales; Enterobacteriaceae
Also listed under: 1 other name
Description: partial 16S ribosomal RNA
Rfam family: Bacterial small subunit ribosomal RNA
Source: RNAcentral